GGAUGCGAUCAUACCAGCACUAAAGCACCGAAUCCCAUCAGAACUCCGAAGUUAAGCAUGCUUGGGCGACAGUAGUACUAGGAUGGGUGACCUACUGGGAAGUCCUCGUGUUGCUUUCCC
This 120-nucleotide ribosomal RNA is filed under the name Triticum monococcum subsp. aegilopoides. The record is from RNAcentral. Lineage: Eukaryota; Viridiplantae; Streptophyta; Magnoliopsida; Poales; Poaceae.